This 211-nucleotide unclassified non-coding RNA is filed under the name fungal sp. RNAcentral's name for it is "partial internal transcribed spacer region". The stretch from base 1 to 46 matches the Rfam family "Eukaryotic small subunit ribosomal RNA", at positions 1786 to 1831 of the family's 1831-position model. The record is from RNAcentral. Lineage: Eukaryota; Fungi.
AAGUCGUAACAAGGUCUCCGUAGGUGAACCUGCGGAGGGAUCAUUACUGAGUUACACUCAAACCCUGUUUAAGAAUCUGUUGCUUCGGAGGCGCCCCUCGGGAGGGGAUCUGCUUCGGCCGCCUCCAAAAGCACCUUUACUCUUAACUUCGAUUCAUUUAUAUUCAAUUCCAAAAAAAAUCAAAACCUCAACAACGGAUCUCUUGGUUACG